GGGUCUACCUCGGGGGGCCUUCACAGGCUGAGAUGCUGACCAGCGGACCCGUUGAACCUGAACCGGUUAACACCGGCGGAGGGAAGGUGCGGUGUCUCGAA
RNAcentral lists this non-coding RNA (101 nucleotides) under Jannaschia rubra. RNAcentral describes it as "TPP sequence". It matches the Rfam family "TPP riboswitch aptamer (THI element)". From Rfam's summary of the family: Vitamin B(1) in its active form thiamin pyrophosphate (TPP) is an essential coenzyme that is synthesised by coupling of pyrimidine and thiazole moieties in bacteria. The previously detected thiamin-regulatory element, thi box was extended, resulting in a new, highly conserved RNA secondary structure, the THI element, which is widely distributed in eubacteria and also occurs in some archaea. Analysis of operon structures identified a large number of new candidate thiamin-regulated genes, mostly transporters, in various prokaryotic organisms. Lineage: Bacteria; Pseudomonadati; Pseudomonadota; Alphaproteobacteria; Rhodobacterales; Roseobacteraceae. The record is from Rfam by way of RNAcentral.